GGUCAGAUGGCCGAGCGGUCUAAGGCGCUAGCCUAAGGAGCUAGUCUAUUCGUAGGCGUGGGUUCGAACCCCACUCUGACCA
Molecule: transfer RNA, 82 nt
Organism: Edhazardia aedis
Lineage: Eukaryota; Fungi; Microsporidia; Culicosporidae
Rfam family: tRNA
About the family: Transfer RNA (tRNA) molecules are approximately 80 nucleotides in length.
Source: Rfam